Molecule: ribosomal RNA, 254 nt
Filed under: uncultured bacterium
Lineage: Bacteria
Description: partial 16S ribosomal RNA
Rfam family: Bacterial small subunit ribosomal RNA
Source: RNAcentral
UACAGAGGUCUCAAGCGUUGUUCGGAUUUAUUGGGCGUAAAGAGCUCGUAGGCGGUUCCGUAAGUCGCGAAGUAAAAUCCCUGGGCUCAACCCAGAAUCGCUUCCGAUACUGCGGUGACUGGAGUCCGGUAGGGGAGUGUGGAAUUCCUGGUGUAGCGGUGAAAUGCGCAGAUAUCAGGAGGAACACCAACAGCGAAGGCAGCACUCUGGGCCGGUACUGACGCUGAGGAGCGAAAGCAUGGGGAGCGAACAGG